RNAcentral lists this ribosomal RNA (330 nucleotides) under uncultured eukaryote. RNAcentral's name for it is "partial 18S ribosomal RNA". It matches the Rfam family "Eukaryotic small subunit ribosomal RNA", at positions 1470 to 1796 of the family's 1831-position model. The record is from RNAcentral.
CCCUUAGAUGUUCUGGGCCGCACGCGUGCUACACUGAUGCAUUCAACGAGUCUAAAACCUGGUCUGAUAGGGCUGGGUAAUCUUUUGAAAGUGCAUCGUGAUUGGGAUGGAUGAUUGCAAUUCUUCAUCUUCAACGAGGAAUGCCUAGUAAACGCAAGUCAUCAGCUUGCAUUGAUUACGUCCCUGCCCUUUGUACACACCGCCCGUCGCUCCUACCGAUUGAAUGAUCCGAUGAAUACCAUGGAUUGAGAGUACGAAUAGGUUCGCUUAUUUCUGCUGCUCGAGAAGUGGAGUAAAUCUUAUCAUUUAGAGGAAGGAGAAGUCGUAACA